This 253-nucleotide ribosomal RNA is filed under the name uncultured bacterium. Its description in RNAcentral is "partial 16S ribosomal RNA". It matches the Rfam family "Bacterial small subunit ribosomal RNA", at positions 524 to 776 of the family's 1533-position model. The record is from RNAcentral.
UACGUAGGGUGCAAGCGUUAACCGGAAUUACUGGGCGUAAAGCGUGCGCAGGCGGCUUUGCAAGACAGAUGUGAAAUCCCCGGGCUUAACCUGGGAACUGCAUUUGUGACUGCAUGGCUGGAGUGCGGCAGAGGGGGAUGGAAUUCCGCGUGUAGCAGUGAAAUGCGUAGAGAUCGGGAAGAACAUCGGUGGCGAAGGCGGCCUGCUGGGCUGUUGCUGACGCUGAGGCGCGACAGCGUGGGGAGCAAACAGG